GCAUUGACGAUGAUAGCAGUCUGGAACCACCUGAUCCCAUUCCGAACUCAGAAGUGAAACGGUCUCACGCCAAUGAUAGUCUGGCACUGCCCAGGUGAAAGUAGGUAAUCGUCAAGCCU
This 119-nucleotide ribosomal RNA is filed under the name Francisella tularensis subsp. novicida PA10-7858. The record is from RNAcentral. Lineage: Bacteria; Pseudomonadati; Pseudomonadota; Gammaproteobacteria; Thiotrichales; Francisellaceae.